This 750-nucleotide unclassified non-coding RNA is filed under the name Hevea brasiliensis (rubber tree). Lineage: Eukaryota; Viridiplantae; Streptophyta; Magnoliopsida; Malpighiales; Euphorbiaceae. The record is from RNAcentral.
CAUCAUACGAGCUCAAACCAGCUACAACAGAUCCUGUUGUUGCAAAAGUUGAUGCUACAUCUGGAUAAUCUUUCCAAGAUGUUGUAACCUUGAGAGAUGGAUACAACCAACUCUUAAUGGAAUCCACAAAGUUGCUUGGAUCAAAGUUCAAAAUGGCUUCCCAAUCCACUUGUACCCCAUUUGGGAUUUUCCCAUCAAACUCCAUAUUAGCAGCAAGAAGUAAUCCAAGCAAAACUAUGAAUCCAACAGCAGCAGAACCUCUAGACAGUGGCAUAAAAUUGUACCAGUAAUAUGUCAUCCUUAAAAUUGCAUCUCUAACAUUUUCAAGUACAUCAAGAUCAGUGGACCCAUAAAUUUCACCGCAAUAAGCAUUGCACACAGCUUCCCAUGCUGUUGCCAUUUCUGCAUCAUACUCUUCCCAUCUAGAAGGCGUGCAUGGUGUUCUAAUAGCAAAGUCAUAUCCAUGUUCACCCAUCUUCACUAGGGUAAUCCUUGUCCCUUCAAGCCGCUUCCCCUCCACUGCAGUACUGUUGCACCAUGUAGCCAACCAGAAGUCCUCACCAACCACUUUGUAAAGAUCAGAACAGCUUUUUGCAUCCAUAAUAUCUUGUAAUUUCUCAUUUUUGGAUAUACCAAUACUUUCAUCAGCUUUGUUGUGCACAUACAUUUUAUCUUUCAUGAUGGUCUUUGCAGCAUUUAACGUUCUUUCAUAAUUUGGGUAGUAACGAACAACUUUUGCUUGUCCGAGAA